This 2048-nucleotide long non-coding RNA is filed under the name Podarcis lilfordi (Lilford's wall lizard). The record is from RNAcentral. Lineage: Eukaryota; Metazoa; Chordata; Lepidosauria; Squamata; Lacertidae.
CCUGCCAGGCCCAGGGAGCAUGCAGGCUGGGAUUCAGAAUAUCUUGCAAUCCCUAUUCACUUCCAUUCCCCGUUUAAAAAUGUACUUUGAGGAGAGGGAAGAACAGAGGACGAUUGAUUUAGAAGUGCCAUUUUCUCCACAGACUUUGCAAGUGGCUGCAACAAGGUCAGGGGAAAAACAGUUUUACUCCUGUCUUACAGCAACACGAAAUGAACCUGGAAUUGCAUCCUCUAUGUCUAGCAGCUCAAGCAUAGUGUGCCAGACCCCUCAGAGAAUCCUGGAACAUCAAGCAAACAAGGGAGAGCAUGCAGGAGGAGACAGAGGGCCGUUUUCCUUCAUGACAGCCACAGCCAUGCCCACUUCUGAGAUUGUGCCAUAAUCUUGCAAUUAUCAUACAACAAGAAGGGAUGCAUUGCAACAAUCAGUGCAGAUCUCCAUGUGUUGCCUUUCCUUUAGAUCUAAUAUUUUCUGGGCAAACAAUUUGGAGUGCUCCAAUUUCUUCUUUCAGAGUGACUCAAGUUGCUUUUUCCUUGAAGUUCCGUUGUACAGAAUUUUCACACCAUUCUCAUGAAAACGUUUUCUGUGUUCUAAAUGCUUAGCUUUUGAGCACACUGAACAAUUUCUCCAGAGUGACCAUUGGAGCACAUCCUCAGCAGCUAACUCAUCACUCUGAGCAGCACAGAGGGUGAGAAGACUUUGUCUCCUUUGGGAUGGUAUUGGACUCUCAGGAAAUUAGGGAAAAUAUAUGUCGGAAUUAUGUACCUGUUGGAAAUGUAAAGGGGGGGUACCUUUUCCCAUAUGUGGUGGUCACGUAAUGUAGCAGAAGCUUUCUGGGAAAUGAUUUAUAAUGAGUUGAAAAAAAUGUUGAAGAUAACUUUUGUUAAAAAAACAGAAGCCUUUAUUUUAGGUAUAAUUGGUGGAGAGGUACGCAAAGAACAGGGAAAAAAAAUUAUGCAUGUCCCAAUGGCUGCCCGAAUGAUUUAUGCCCAGAGAUGGAAAGAGGAAACAGUUCCAAUGAAGGAGGACAGGCAACUAGAGUGGAUGGAGUAUGCAGAAAUUGCGAAACUUACCAGAAGAAUAAAAAACCAAGAAGAGAGCCUUAAAAAAAUAUAAUGGGGAAAAUUUAUUGACUAUUUGAAGAUGUAUGUGCCGUAAGAAAUAAUUAAAAGGGAAUAGAAAGGGAAAAUUAGUAAAUAGGUUUGAACUGGAUAUGAAGUAACAAAGAAAUAUACCGUAUUGGCCUGAAUAUAAGCCACACUUUCCCUCCAAUUUCCAAUUGUGAAAAGUUAAAGUGUGCCUUAUAUUCACAACCUUACAGUAUCGCUGCUGAAACAGCUGCCCACGAGGGCCAUUGGGGGUGUGGGACAAUGGUGCCCGUCCCGACUCAAGCCUCCACUGAGCCACCUUAGGGAAGGGGGAGGGGGGAGGCCGCCAACAAAGCCCCCUCCCCAAAGCAGCCCGGGAGCCCAGGGCAACAGCGCACAGCCCGCCUGCUGCUCCCAAGCCUCCCCCAGCGCUGGCUUGGGGAAGUAGUGCUGGGAGGCGGUGGUGUUGGAAGGCAGGUGCGCAGUGUGCUCGUCGUGGGCUGCAGUUGUGUCGUUGUCAAAGACUAUGGCAAGGAAUCUCAGGCCAAAGAUGCCAUCCAAAGGUACUUCAAGUGCAAGAAAUGAACCAAUAAAAUAUAUUUGCGCCUGGAAAAAAAGAAAAGAAGAAGAAGAAGAAGAAGAAGAAGAAGAAGAAGAAGAAGAAGAAGAAGAAGGGCGCUAGUGCCAGCUUGGGGAGUGAGGCGCCAAGUACCAGUGCUGGCCGCCCCCUGUUCAGGGCAGUAGUGCCUAGAGGCAGGUCGCACCUGCAAAUAAGCCUUUAAUUUUAAAGGUGCGUCUUAUUUGCAGGUGCGUCUUAUAUUCGGGCCAAUAUGGUAAACUUAGUAACCGCAGAAAGGAGGGGAGGGAAGUUGAGGGAAAUGCAGCUUGAUUAUGUAAAGACUUUGCUUUUUCGUUAAAAUAUUUGUAAAAUAAAAUGAAAAAUAAAAUUAAUAAAAAUUAAAA